RNAcentral lists this ribosomal RNA (253 nucleotides) under uncultured bacterium. Its description in RNAcentral is "partial 16S ribosomal RNA". It matches the Rfam family "Bacterial small subunit ribosomal RNA", at positions 524 to 776 of the family's 1533-position model. The record is from RNAcentral.
AACGUAGGACGCAAGCGUUGUCCGGAGUUACUGGGCGUAAAGCGUGCGCAGGCGGUUCGUUGUGUCUGAUGUGAAAGCCCCGGGCUUAACCUGGGAAUGGCAUUGGAAACUGGCGAGCUGGAGUGUGGCAGAGGGGGGUGGAAUUCCGCGUGUAGCAGUGAAAUGCGUAGAGAUGCGGAGGAACACCGAUGGCGAAGGCAGCCCCGUGGGCCAACACUGACGCUCAGGCACGAAAGCGUGGGGAGCAAACAGC